GAAUACGGCCAGGCAAUGACAGUCCGAGUGUGCAAGAUGGAUGGAGAAGUAAUGCCUGUGGUUGUAGUGCAGAGUGCCACAGUCCUGGACCUGAAGAAGGCCAUCCAGAGAUACGUGCAGCUCAAGCAGGAGCGUGAAGGGGGCAUUCAGCACAUCAGCUGGUAAGUGGAACAACAAUCCCUUCAUUAUAGCACUUCCUGGGGUCAGUGCCCUUCUUGGCACUGUCACCAGGCACCACCUGGAAACACCUCUCAGCUCUGCAUGAGUACAGCACCACUGAAGUGAUGAGCUCCCUGUCACAAGAGUUCAGACAGUGCAGGUCCUUCUGUGCCUGGGACUCCUGCCUCGGCCAUCCCCAGCAUACUGCUCUUUCAUCGCCAUCACCCCAUCCAAGCUGCUAGAUAUCUUCACUUGGGGACACCGUUGGGAAUUUCCAGUGUGUCUGGAAGUGGCCUCCCUAUUUAUGGAUGGUACACCUGUAGUGGCUCCCAUCCCCUUCUCACCUGGGUGCUGUCAGCCCUCACUCUCCUAUUGGAUCAACUGUCCUGUUCACCGAGUCUCAACACUGUCACCUGUUGCAUUAGCAAGGUGUGUUUGGCCAAGCUGCCCCAUACAGCCCUCUGAGAACAGAGCCUCCUUGUAGCUGCCUCAGACCCAAUUUGCACAUUGUACAGAACAGCCCAGGUAGGGAGGACAGCUGCCCCAGGUCCCAUAGGGCUGAAUGCCUCAAGCCCACGUCAUGCACAGCCACUCAGCUCACCCUACUCAGGGCAUGUGGUUUACCUGCAUUCCCCUCUUACAGGUCCUAUGUGUGGAGGACGUACCAUCUGACCUCUGCAGGAGAGAAACUCACAGAAGAUAGAAAGAAGCUCCGAGACUAUGGCAUCCGGAAUCGAGACGAGGUUUCCUUCAUCAAAAAGCUGAGGCAAAAGUGAGCCUCCAGACAGGACAACUCGCUUCAUCACUGGUGGCUGAGCUUUUUCCCAGCAGGAUCGGCUCCUCGAGUCAUUGUGCCUCUUUCACAGAAAGGAUGUCGUGUUGGCCUCACCCCAGGCAUGCCCAACAGGAACUGUCAGCAUAAACCUGGGGGCCCUCAGGACUAGGACAGGGUGAGCCAGUGCUCCCUUCUUUCAUGCACUUGGCCUGAGACUGACCUCUCCCUGGGUCCAAAUGCCCUAGUCACAUGGCAGAGCCACGGCCUGGCCCUGUGUAUAAAAUAAACCUGUUUGCUUCUUGGUUUGAAAA
RNAcentral lists this small RNA (1245 nucleotides) under Pongo abelii (Sumatran orangutan). Its description in RNAcentral is "retained intron". Lineage: Eukaryota; Metazoa; Chordata; Mammalia; Primates; Hominidae. The record is from RNAcentral.